UGUAAGCGUAUACCAAAGUUGUUGCAGUUAACGCUCGUAGUCGGAAUUUGGCAGUUCCGGAUGUGUGCACGUCGUGUGCGCACUUCGCGGGGAUUGCUUUUGUGGUCUUGCGUAGGAUGAGGCACUUUUAUUAGUGAACGUCCUCACGCAACCACUUUUUACUGUGAGAAAAUCAGAGUGCUCAAAGCAGGCAUUUGCCGUGAAUGUAUUAGCAUGGAAUAAUAGAAUAGGACUUGGUUCUAUUUUGUUGGUUUGUUGGGACUGAGUAAUGAUUAAGAGGGACAGUUGGGGGCAUUCGUAUUUCGGCGCUAGAGGUGAAAUUCUUAGAUUGCCGAAAGACAAACUGCUGCGAAAGCGUCUGCCAAGGAUGUUUUCAUUGA
Molecule: ribosomal RNA, 380 nt
Filed under: uncultured eukaryote
Lineage: Eukaryota
Description: partial 18S ribosomal RNA
Rfam family: Eukaryotic small subunit ribosomal RNA
Source: RNAcentral